This 2921-nucleotide ribosomal RNA is filed under the name Staphylococcus aureus. Its description in RNAcentral is "23S ribosomal RNA". It matches the Rfam family "Bacterial large subunit ribosomal RNA". Lineage: Bacteria; Bacillati; Bacillota; Bacilli; Caryophanales; Staphylococcaceae. The record is from RNAcentral.
UUAAGUUAUUAAGGGCGCACGGUGGAUGCCUUGGCACUAGAAGCCGAUGAAGGACGUUACUAACGACGAUAUGCUUUGGGGAGCUGUAAGUAAGCUUUGAUCCAGAGAUUUCCGAAUGGGGAAACCCAGCAUGAGUUAUGUCAUGUUAUCGAUAUGUGAAUACAUAGCAUAUCAGAAGGCACACCCGGAGAACUGAAACAUCUUAGUACCCGGAGGAAGAGAAAGAAAAUUCGAUUCCCUUAGUAGCGGCGAGCGAAACGGGAAGAGCCCAAACCAACAAGCUUACUUGUUGGGGUUGUAGGACACUCUAUACGGAGUUACAAAGGACGACAUUAGACGAAUCAUCUGGAAAGAUGAAUCAAAGAAGGUAAUAAUCCUGUAGUCGAAAAUGUUGUCUCUCUUGAGUGGAUCCUGAGUACGACGGAGCACGUGAAAUUCCGUCGGAAUCUGGGAGGACCAUCUCCUAAGGCUAAAUACUCUCUAGUGACCGAUAGUGAACCAGUACCGUGAGGGAAAGGUGAAAAGCACCCCGGAAGGGGAGUGAAAUAGAACCUGAAACCGUGUGCUUACAAGUAGUCAGAGCCCGUUAAUGGGUGAUGGCGUGCCUUUUGUAGAAUGAACCGGCGAGUUACGAUUUGAUGCAAGGUUAAGCAGUAAAUGUGGAGCCGUAGCGAAAGCGAGUCUGAAUAGGGCGUUUAGUAUUUGGUCGUAGACCCGAAACCAGGUGAUCUACCCUUGGUCAGGUUGAAGUUCAGGUAACACUGAAUGGAGGACCGAACCGACUUACGUUGAAAAGUGAGCGGAUGAACUGAGGGUAGCGGAGAAAUUCCAAUCGAACCUGGAGAUAGCUGGUUCUCUCCGAAAUAGCUUUAGGGCUAGCCUCAAGUGAUGAUUAUUGGAGGUAGAGCACUGUUUGGACGAGGGGCCCCUCUCGGGUUACCGAAUUCAGACAAACUCCGAAUGCCAAUUAAUUUAACUUGGGAGUCAGAACAUGGGUGAUAAGGUCCGUGUUCGAAAGGGAAACAGCCCAGACCACCAGCUAAGGUCCCAAAAUAUAUGUUAAGUGGAAAAGGAUGUGGCGUUGCCCAGACAACUAGGAUGUUGGCUUAGAAGCAGCCAUCAUUUAAAGAGUGCGUAAUAGCUCACUAGUCGAGUGACACUGCGCCGAAAAUGUACCGGGGCUAAACAUAUUACCGAAGCUGUGGAUUGUCCUUUGGACAAUGGUAGGAGAGCGUUCUAAGGGCGUUGAAGCAUGAUCGUAAGGACAUGUGGAGCGCUUAGAAGUGAGAAUGCCGGUGUGAGUAGCGAAAGACGGGUGAGAAUCCCGUCCACCGAUUGACUAAGGUUUCCAGAGGAAGGCUCGUCCGCUCUGGGUUAGUCGGGUCCUAAGCUGAGGCCGACAGGCGUAGGCGAUGGAUAACAGGUUGAUAUUCCUGUACCACCUAUAAUCGUUUUAAUCGAUGGGGGGACGCAGUAGGAUAGGCGAAGCGUGCGAUUGGAUUGCACGUCUAAGCAGUAAGGCUGAGUAUUAGGCAAAUCCGGUACUCGUUAAGGCUGAGCUGUGAUGGGGAGAAGACAUUGUGUCUUCGAGUCGUUGAUUUCACACUGCCGAGAAAAGCCUCUAGAUAGAAAAUAGGUGCCCGUACCGCAAACCGACACAGGUAGUCAAGAUGAGAAUUCUAAGGUGAGCGAGCGAACUCUCGUUAAGGAACUCGGCAAAAUGACCCCGUAACUUCGGGAGAAGGGGUGCUCUUUAGGGUUAACGCCCAGAAGAGCCGCAGUGAAUAGGCCCAAGCGACUGUUUAUCAAAAACACAGGUCUCUGCUAAACCGUAAGGUGAUGUAUAGGGGCUGACGCCUGCCCGGUGCUGGAAGGUUAAGAGGAGUGGUUAGCUUCUGCGAAGCUACGAAUCGAAGCCCCAGUAAACGGCGGCCGUAACUAUAACGGUCCUAAGGUAGCGAAAUUCCUUGUCGGGUAAGUUCCGACCCGCACGAAAGGCGUAACGAUUUGGGCACUGUCUCAACGAGAGACUCGGUGAAAUCAUAGUACCUGUGAAGAUGCAGGUUACCCGCGACAGGACGGAAAGACCCCGUGGAGCUUUACUGUAGCCUGAUAUUGAAAUUCGGCACAGCUUGUACAGGAUAGGUAGGAGCCUUUGAAACGUGAGCGCUAGCUUACGUGGAGGCGCUGGUGGGAUACUACCCUAGCUGUGUUGGCUUUCUAACCCGCACCACUUAUCGUGGUGGGAGACAGUGUCAGGCGGGCAGUUUGACUGGGGCGGUCGCCUCCUAAAAGGUAACGGAGGCGCUCAAAGGUUCCCUCAGAAUGGUUGGAAAUCAUUCAUAGAGUGUAAAGGCAUAAGGGAGCUUGACUGCGAGACCUACAAGUCGAGCAGGGUCGAAAGACGGACUUAGUGAUCCGGUGGUUCCGCAUGGAAGGGCCAUCGCUCAACGGAUAAAAGCUACCCCGGGGAUAACAGGCUUAUCUCCCCCAAGAGUUCACAUCGACGGGGAGGUUUGGCACCUCGAUGUCGGCUCAUCGCAUCCUGGGGCUGUAGUCGGUCCCAAGGGUUGGGCUGUUCGCCCAUUAAAGCGGUACGCGAGCUGGGUUCAGAACGUCGUGAGACAGUUCGGUCCCUAUCCGUCGUGGGCGUAGGAAAUUUGAGAGGAGCUGUCCUUAGUACGAGAGGACCGGGAUGGACAUACCUCUGGUGUACCAGUUGUCGUGCCAACGGCAUAGCUGGGUAGCUAUGUGUGGACGGGAUAAGUGCUGAAAGCAUCUAAGCAUGAAGCCCCCCUCAAGAUGAGAUUUCCCAACUUCGGUUAUAAGAUCCCUCAAAGAUGAUGAGGUUAAUAGGUUCGAGGUGGAAGCAUGGUGACAUGUGGAGCUGACGAAUACUAAUCGAUCGAAGACUUAAUCAA